ACUCCUACGGGAGGCAGCAGUGGGGAAUAUUGCACAAUGGGGGAAACCCUGAUGCAGCCAUGCCGCGUGUGUGAAGAAGGCCUUCGGGUUGUAAAGCACUUUCAGUAGGGAGGAAGGUAGUGUAGUUAACACCUGCACUAUUUGACGUUACCUACAGAAGAAGCACCGGCUAACUCCGUGCCAGCAGCCGCGGUAAUACGGAGGGUGCGAGCGUUAAUCGGAAUUACUGGGCGUAAAGCGCAUGCAGGUGGUUUGUUAAGUCAGAUGUGAAAGCCCGGGGCUCAACCUCGGAAUUGCAUUUGAAACUGGCAGACUAGAGUACUGUAGAGGGGGGUAGAAUUUCAGGUGUAGCGGUGAAAUGCGUAGAGAUCUGAAGGAAUACCGGUGGCGAAGGCGGCCCCCUGGAACAGAUACUGACACUCAGAUGCGAAAGCGUGGGG
This 440-nucleotide ribosomal RNA is filed under the name uncultured bacterium. RNAcentral describes it as "bacterial SSU rRNA". It matches the Rfam family "Bacterial small subunit ribosomal RNA", at positions 335 to 766 of the family's 1533-position model. The record is from RNAcentral.